This 301-nucleotide ribosomal RNA is filed under the name uncultured bacterium. RNAcentral's name for it is "partial 16S ribosomal RNA". It matches the Rfam family "Bacterial small subunit ribosomal RNA", at positions 509 to 807 of the family's 1533-position model. The record is from RNAcentral.
CAGCAGCCACGGGAAUACGUAGGGUGCAAGCGUUAAUCGGAAUUACUGGGCGUAAAGCGUGCGCAGGCGGUUAUAUAAGACAGAUGUGAAAUCCCCGGGCUCAACCUGGGAACUGCAUUUGUGACUGUAUAGCUAGAGUACGGCAGAGGGGGAUGGAAUCCCGCGUGUAGCAGUGAAAUGCGUAGAUAUGCGGAGGAACACCGAUGGCGAAGGCAGCCCCCUGGGAUAACACUGACGCUCAUGCACGAAAGCAUGGGGAGCAAACAGGAUUAGAUACCCCGGUAGUCCCUGUCUCUUAUAC